This 253-nucleotide ribosomal RNA is filed under the name uncultured bacterium. RNAcentral describes it as "partial 16S ribosomal RNA". It matches the Rfam family "Bacterial small subunit ribosomal RNA", at positions 524 to 776 of the family's 1533-position model. The record is from RNAcentral.
UACGUAGGUGGCAAGCGUUGUCCGGAUUUACUGGGUGUAAAGGGCGUGUAGCCGGGUUGACAAGUCAGAUGUGAAAUCCUGCGGCUUAACCGCAGAACUGCAUUUGAAACUGUUGAUCUUGAGUACUGGAGAGGCAGACGGAAUUCCUAGUGUAGCGGCGAAAUGCGUAGAUAUUAGGAGGAACACCAGUGGCGAAGGCGGUCUGCUGGACAGCAACUGACGGUGAGGCGCGAAAGCGUGGGGAGCAAACAGG